This 451-nucleotide ribosomal RNA is filed under the name uncultured bacterium. RNAcentral's name for it is "partial 16S ribosomal RNA". It matches the Rfam family "Bacterial small subunit ribosomal RNA", at positions 354 to 796 of the family's 1533-position model. The record is from RNAcentral.
GUGGGGAAUAUUGGACAAUGGGGGGAACCCUGAUCCAGCCAUGCCGCGUGUGUGAAGAAGGCCUUUUGGUUGUAAAGCACUUUAAGCGAGGAGGAGGCUACCGAGAUUAAUACUCUUGGAUAGUGGACGUUACUCGCAGAAUAAGCACCGGCUAACUCUGUGCCAGCAGCCGCGGUAAUACAGAGGGUGCAAGCGUUAAUCGGAUUUACUGGGCGUAAAGCGCGCGUAGGUGGCCAAUUAAGUCAAAUGUGAAAUCCCCGAGCUUAACUUGGGAAUUGCAUUCGAUACUGGUUGGCUAGAGGAUGGGAGAGGAUGGUAGAAUUCCAGGUGUAGCGGUGAAAUGCGUAGAGAUCUGGAGGAAUACCGAUGGCGAAGGCAGCCAUCUGGCCUAAUACUGACACUGAGGUGCGAAAGCAUGGGGAGCAAACAGGAUUAGAUACCCGAGUAGUCC